GAACUGGUCCGCAAAUGCCUUGCUCGCACUGAGCAACUGCGAACAGGGGCGAUUCUUUUAUUACACGUGUGUGAAUAACGUAAAUAGUUCUGUGCAAAAAUGCAGAUUUUUAUCGUUCUCUCUUUUGCAGAAAUUUUCUUUCUUGCUUGUAAAUUAUGCUAUCCCGUUAAUUAAUUUGUAAUAUGAGCAUAAUUUAUUGAAAUUUUUAUUUAUGUAAAACGGGUUUUAUUUUAAUUUGGUGAUAAGUUGGGGGAACUUGGAUUGCCGGUUGUAUCCAUCUCGCUCAUGAAUCCUUUUCUGCCAUUUGGUUCGGUACUAGAUUUACUGGGGUUCAUGCUCGUCUUUUGAAUAAACAUUUAGUGUUUUUUAUGGACAUGGUUCUUUUGAUUCAUGUCGUCGUCGUCGUUAUUAAUAUUUUUGAGGUGACCUUUAAAAUUUGUAUCAAUUUUGUGUUUUUUUAGGUGCAAUGGGCUUUGUUUUUUUCACUUCUUCAGCAGUGUUAUUUAUUUUCUCCUUUUGGGAAUCAUUCCAUUGUUAUUUGUUCCUAAAACUGUGUCAAAGACAAAUUUUUAGAUGAACAUAUCUUUCUCCCAUCUAACUGCUCAAGUUUUUAGAUCAAAAUAUCUUGAGUUAAGUCUCCCCAUUGACAAAAAUUGUACACGUAUUAGACGUUCGAUCCAAAAGCUAAUCCGGUCUACAUGUGAGGAGGCUUGUUGAAGACAAUAUUUGAAUUAAUAUACAUGGCCCUUCUUUAACAACUUAUGCCAUUAGACACGGUGGCUCAACAUUUUCUAUUGAGGAUGCCAUGUACUUACAGAAUAUAACAAGGCCUUUAGCAGUUUACCUGUAUCUGUAAUUCAGUUUAGCUGCUUCAACAUACUUUAAUUGCCUUUUCCUUUGUUUAUUUAAACUCAUUUUCUGCUGCUUUUUCUGUGUUUAUUGAGGAACAGGUGCUAGUUAACAGCCUUCUUAUCUUUCAGAUGUCCUAUAUCCACAUGUAUUUAGGGGCUCCAUUUUCUUGUAAUAUAAAUAUGCAGGCUACUAGACAUGCAGAGGUGGAAACAAUUGAUGUGCUACUUGAGCAGUGGAAGUAAGUUGGACAUUCAGGGGAAGAAGCUGCUUUGAAAUUCUCAAGAUGCACUCUUUAUGUUACAUGUGAGCGAUGCAUAAUGUGUGGAGCUGCUUUAUCGGUUAUUGGUAUGCUCAAGAAAGUUUAUUUGAAUAUAUUGUCGAGUUUGAUUGUUAUCUUUAAGAGAAGUGACCAUCUUAUGAUCUAUUAGGUAUCGAAGAAGUAUACCAUGGCUGUGCAGAUGAUAAAUUUGGUGGGGUGGGGAGCAAUAUUGUCGUUGCAUACAAAAAUCUCUGAAAAGCUCAAAUGUAUUGGAGGGAAUAAUGGCAUCUGAUGCUGUCAAUCUUCUAAGAAGCUUCUAUGAGCAAAGAAAUCCCAAUGGUAUGAAUAUAUUAUAAUUUUUAAUGACUGCAAUUUAACAAUUUUUGAACCUCAGAUUUCUCCUUAAAUUAGGAGAAAGAUUAACAUGGAAAAGG
RNAcentral lists this long non-coding RNA (1545 nucleotides) under Olea europaea subsp. europaea. The record is from RNAcentral. Lineage: Eukaryota; Viridiplantae; Streptophyta; Magnoliopsida; Lamiales; Oleaceae.